This 25-nucleotide microRNA is filed under the name Saccoglossus kowalevskii. Its description in RNAcentral is "Sko-Mir-4828-P3_5p* (star (passenger))". The record is from RNAcentral. Lineage: Eukaryota; Metazoa; Hemichordata; Enteropneusta; Harrimaniidae.
CAGCCUAAAUGGCACUUUACACUGC